AUGUACCACCCGUACACUCCGGUUCUGAGCGCGCCGUCCGCACCCACCUGGCGGCUGCGCAGUAGUUUUGUUAGCC
This 76-nucleotide small RNA is filed under the name Xanthomonas populi. Its description in RNAcentral is "sX9 sRNA". It matches the Rfam family "Xanthomonas sRNA sX9". The record is from RNAcentral. Lineage: Bacteria; Pseudomonadati; Pseudomonadota; Gammaproteobacteria; Lysobacterales; Lysobacteraceae.